RNAcentral lists this non-coding RNA (57 nucleotides) under Gordonia sihwensis. RNAcentral also lists the same sequence under 1 other name. Lineage: Bacteria; Bacillati; Actinomycetota; Actinomycetes; Mycobacteriales; Gordoniaceae. The record is from RNAcentral.
GGAAAUCCGGUGCGAUUCCGGUGCGGUCCCGCCACUGUGGUCUGCCCGGCAGGAGAC